This 374-nucleotide ribosomal RNA is filed under the name uncultured bacterium. RNAcentral describes it as "bacterial SSU rRNA". It matches the Rfam family "Bacterial small subunit ribosomal RNA", at positions 524 to 898 of the family's 1533-position model. The record is from RNAcentral.
UACGUAGGGUGCGAGCGUUAAUCGGAAUUACUGGGCGUAAAGCGUGCGCAGGCGGUUCGUCGUGUCCGAUGUGAAAGCCCCGGGCUCAACCUGGGAAUGGCAUUGGAAACUGGCGGGCUUGAGUGUGGCAGAGGGGGGUGGAAUUCCGCGUGUAGCAGUGAAAUGCGUAGAGAUGCGGAGGAACACCGAUGGCGAAGGCAGCCCCCUGGGCUGACACUGACGCUCAGGCACGAAAGCGUGGGGAGCAAACAGGAUUAGAUACCCUGGUAGUCCACGCCCUAAACGAUGAUCACUGGGUGUUCGGGGAGCGAUCUCUGAGUACCGUAGCUAACGCGUGAAGUGAUCCGCCUGGGGAGUACGGUCGCAAGAUUAAA